RNAcentral lists this ribosomal RNA (254 nucleotides) under uncultured bacterium. RNAcentral describes it as "partial 16S ribosomal RNA". It matches the Rfam family "Bacterial small subunit ribosomal RNA", at positions 524 to 776 of the family's 1533-position model. The record is from RNAcentral.
UACGAGGGGGGCAAGCGUUGUUCGGAAUUAUUGGGCGUAAAGGGUGUGUAGGUGGCGCCGUAAGUCGGGUGUUGAAAUUUCGGAGCUUAACUCCGAAACUGCAUUCGAUACUGCGGUGCUUGAGGACUGGAGAGGAGACUGGAAUUCAUGGUGUAGCAGUGAAAUGCGUAGAGAUCAUGAGGAAGACCAGUGGCGAAGGCGGGUCUCUGGACAGUUCCUGACACUGAGACACGAAGGCCAGGGGAGCAAACGGG